This 769-nucleotide small RNA is filed under the name Histoplasma capsulatum var. duboisii H88. RNAcentral describes it as "Histoplasma capsulatum H88 hypothetical RNA". Lineage: Eukaryota; Fungi; Ascomycota; Eurotiomycetes; Onygenales; Ajellomycetaceae. The record is from RNAcentral.
GUUGCCGGCAUAAAGUAUUUUCAUUCUACCUCUUCACAAGAGUGACAGCUGAAUCACUCACUUGAUAUCAGAAUGCAAAGCUAAGUAUGCAAUUAGACUUCAUGAUAAGAGCUAGUAAUCACUGAACUGAACUGAUAUUACAAUAUCUAAAAUAGUCAACUUCUUUGAAUUUUAAUCUCCUGAUAAGUAUUAUUUUUUAUUUUUGUUUUAUAUAAGAGAGCUUCUUUCUCUUUCUCUUUAACUCCAAAAAGUCCAAAUCCUCUAUCAGAAUAUUGUUCUCAAGUUCAAUUUUACAGAAACAAACUUUUAUCAAGCAAUCGAAAAUGCAGCUCUCUAGCAGAUUCAUGGCUCUUGACUCUGCUUCUUGCUCCGCUUGCAUUGACUGCUCCUACCUAGGAUACAGUUGGUCCUACCCGAUGCAAACCUGGCACCUAUUGGUGCAGAUGUACGGCCACCACAACUAUGUGUAAGGUCGAUGUCUGUAACGCUCUCGGCAGUGGCAAACUUCAGCCAUGUGCAGACCGAAAAGCAGUCCAAGUGGGCCACCCACUUGCAGAGAUGGUCCAAACGGCACUGCCUUCUGUAUUUAGAUAUUAUAUGGGAGGAAUGGAGUGUUCUCUAGCUUAACAUGUCCUGUAUAUAUAAUCAUCUAGAUAGUUGACUGUCUGAUGUUUGCACUUAUCAGCGAGUUAGAGUACUCUGACAUCUAACUACCGUACAUCACAAUAAGAAAUCCAGUCGGCCUGCAUGUUACUUAGUCAAAGUAUGA